Molecule: long non-coding RNA, 1132 nt
Organism: Capsicum annuum
Lineage: Eukaryota; Viridiplantae; Streptophyta; Magnoliopsida; Solanales; Solanaceae
Exons: 2
Source: RefSeq, a predicted model, not a curated record
UUUUAUUUUUUCCUUAAUUUUCUGCUUGAGUCUUGUGCUAAAGGAGAUUCAUGACAUAUGUAUCAAUCAUCACUUCCACAUCUGCCUCGUGAGUUACGACACUGAACCUGUUAAACUCCAUGGUCUGUCUCAUUAUUGAAAAAUCUAUGCAGUCACAAUCAGUUUAUCUUUUAUAUUAUUUUCUGAGUUAUAAACUUCCUAAGAAGUCGUGGAAAGUUAUGUUGUAACUUGAUUUACUCACCCGUAAGUAUUUAUCCUCUGAGCAGUGGCGGAGCUAGCUAAUAGUGAGGGGUUCAUCAGAACCCCUUCGGCGGAAAAUUAUACUAUUUAUACAAGCUUAAAAUUAUUUUUCAUGUAUAUAUAGCAAACGUUGAAUAACCCUCUUCGAUUAGUUCUUUUGUUCACAUUUUUCAAUUUUGAACCUCCUUAGUUAUGAUGUUGGCUCUGCCACUGCCUCUGAGACACAUGUUUUUCCCUUAAACUGUUGCUGGUAUAGCAACUAUCUGGUACCUACUGGCGCAAUUAAUUCAGAUUCGCCUCCCGUAGAGUCUAUCAUUAAAGGGAGAAGUGUUUUCUAUCAGAAAUUCUCCAUUUCCAGGUAUCAAACGCGAGACUUUUAAUCGAUGAUGGAGAGAUCACAUUCAUUUGCGACAUAGCCCACAUGUAUCUUACACUUUGUGUAUUUAAAGGAAAUUCAUUUUACAACAAUAGUGAUUUGAAGGAAAUCCCCAGCAUGUAUAUAUAUGUGUUUCCUGAUACGAGCCAAAUGGCCACCAUAGCUUGUGAUGACAUCUUUAGAAGCCAAUACAUGAAGAAUCACGCUUUGGUCGCAUUGAGGGCACAAGAACAUACAUGGAGGGGCAGAUUUGAGCGCACCAUAGAGCAAUCUUGUGUGUGAAAGGUUGCUUGGGAGCAUUGAAGACGUGAAGACUCACGGUUUUGGGCACCUUUCAUUAAGGGUGUUUUAGGGACUACACUUGUUGAUUCCCAAAACCCCAUGGCCACCCCUUUCAUUAAGGGUAGGGAGGUCAGUUUGUCUUCAUUUUGUAAUAACUAUAAGUAGGCUCUUUAGGAUUAAUUUCAUACUUGGUUGAUUAUUGUUGAUGAAGUUGUAACACUUGAAGCAUUUCUC